This is a long non-coding RNA of Oncorhynchus mykiss (rainbow trout), 832 nucleotides long. RefSeq lists it as uncharacterized. NCBI's taxonomy places the organism in Eukaryota, Metazoa, Chordata, Actinopteri, Salmoniformes, Salmonidae. The record is from RefSeq and is a predicted model, not a curated record.
UGGUGUUAGGGGAAAAACCAGAACGUGCACCGAGUUUAGGAAACGCUGGCCUAUAUCCACAGUAAGACAACGCCUCCUCCUCUUCCUUUCUUCUACAGCGUUUCACUCAGAUACUGAGUUUUGUGUCUCUAAAAAUAUCCAUCUUGAUAUCAUCAGUCAUGACCAGGGCGAUGAGCAAGCCAGCCGAUCCUAAUGAUCCAGAGAUUCCUCUGAUAGUGGACAUCAUCCUAACUUCAAGGAGUACACCAACACAGAGAAUGGUGCUCAAACUGGGCAAAACUGUUAUUAUAAACUGGGUGGUUCGAGCCCUGAAUGCCGAUUGGCUGAAAGCCAUGGAAAAGUCCACGCUGUCCAGUUAUGUGGUGGCGGGUGUCCAAUAUAGAAUGGAAGAACCUUCUGGACUUCUUCAAGGAAAUCUGCCAGAGAUGGGGUGAAGAAAAUACUUGCACAUCCUACAAUUACUGUUUACCUCAGUCUAUCUACAAGAGUUAUCUAGAAUGUUAUCGACCACAAGCCAGAAGACACAUUAUUCCAUCGCUGUGGAUGAUUCCAAGUACACUGGAGGAUAUUGUCCCAUGUGGCUCAGCUGGUAGAGCACGGCGCCUGCCUUCGCCAAGAUGUGGGUUUGAUUCCCAUUGGGGACCAGUAUGAAAAAAGUCAAUGUAUGCAUUCACAACUGUAAGUCGCUCUGGCUAAGAGUGUCUGCUAAAUGACUGAAAUGUUAAAAUAAUAUAUUUAUAAAAAACAUAAGCUAAGCCAGACAUAUCUAUGAUCAUUAAGUGUAUUUGUAAAAUUGUUGCAUUUCUUUAUUUUAAAUAGAUGUGUAUGUAGA